CGAAGGGUGCAAGCGUUAAUCGGAAUUACUGGGCGUAAAGCGUGCGUAGGUGGUCUUUUAAGUCCGUUGUGAAAGCCCUGGGCUCAACCUGGGAAUGGCAGUGGAUACUGGGAGGCUGGAGUACGGUAGAGGAGGGUGGAAUUCCCGGUGUAGCGGUGAAAUGCGUAGAGAUCGGGAGGAACAUCAGUGGCGAAGGCGGCCCUCUGGACCAGUACUGACGCUGAGGCACGAAAGCGUGGGGAGCAAACAGGAUUAGAUACCCUGGUAGUCCACGCCCUAAACGAUGCGAACUGGACGUUGGUCACAACUCAGUGAUCAGUGUCGAAGCUAACGCGUUAAGUUCGCCGCCUGGGGAGUACGCUCGCAAGAGUG
RNAcentral lists this ribosomal RNA (372 nucleotides) under uncultured organism. Its description in RNAcentral is "bacterial SSU rRNA". It matches the Rfam family "Bacterial small subunit ribosomal RNA", at positions 526 to 896 of the family's 1533-position model. The record is from RNAcentral.